UACGUAGGGUGCGAGCGUUAAUCGGAAUUACUGGGCGUAAAGCGUGCGCAGGCGGUUUUGUAAGCCAGAUGUGAAAGCCCCGGGCUUAACCUGGGAAUGGCAUUUGGGACUGCAAGGCUUGAGUGCGGCAGAGGAGACUGGAAUUCCUGGUGUAGCAGUGGAAAUGCGUAGAUAUCAGGAGGAAUACCGAUGGCGAAGGCAGGUCUCUGGGCUGACACUGACGCUCAUGCACGAAAGCGUGGGGAGCAAACAGG
This 254-nucleotide ribosomal RNA is filed under the name uncultured bacterium. RNAcentral's name for it is "partial 16S ribosomal RNA". It matches the Rfam family "Bacterial small subunit ribosomal RNA", at positions 524 to 776 of the family's 1533-position model. The record is from RNAcentral.